GAGUAAGAAAAGGGCGUACGGGGAAUGCCUUGGGUCCUAUAGGCGAUGAAGGACGUGGCAAGCUGCGAAAAGCUGCGGGGAUCGGCAAGCACGAGUUGAUCCGCAGAUAUCCGAAUGGGGCAACCC
RNAcentral lists this ribosomal RNA (126 nucleotides) under uncultured Bacteroidota bacterium. Its description in RNAcentral is "uncultured Bacteroidetes bacterium partial 23S ribosomal RNA". It matches the Rfam family "Bacterial large subunit ribosomal RNA", at positions 1 to 129 of the family's 2925-position model. Lineage: Bacteria; Pseudomonadati; Bacteroidota. The record is from RNAcentral.